GAUAAACUCGCCGCCCUCGUCGAUGAGAUCUCCCAACUAACGCUUCUCGAAAUCUCUGACCUCACCGAGGUCCUUCGUAACAAGUUGGAUAUCAAGGAGAUGCCGGUAAUGGCGGUAAUGAUGCCCGGGGUGGGAUUUAGUGGCGUGAAGGCCGUCGCAAAGGGAGGAGCAGGUGCGGCGGCCAAGGUAGAAGAGAAGGGGGAGAAGACGGUGUUUGAUGUAAAGCUUGAAGGGUUUGAUGCGGCGACGAAAAUCAAAGUGAUUAAGGAAGUCAGAGGGUUUACGGAUUUAGGACUGAAGGAGGCAAAGGACUUGGUGGAGAAGGCUCCUACGCUGUUGAAGAAAGGAGUGACGAAAGAGGAGGCAGAGAAAAUUAUGGAGAAAAUGAAGGAGGUUGGCGCCAAAGUUACCAUGGAGUGAGGAAGUGAGUAGCUGGAGCAUGCCCCAAGGCAAUGGGAGGAAGAAAAAUAAAAGAAAGGACAACUUUGAAGCACAAUUUGUUUCUUUCAGCGUCUACAGGAUCUUCAUUGAAAUGAAGUGUCCUUCAUGACCAACAUUGUACUGGC
This 566-nucleotide unclassified non-coding RNA is filed under the name Hevea brasiliensis (rubber tree). The record is from RNAcentral. Lineage: Eukaryota; Viridiplantae; Streptophyta; Magnoliopsida; Malpighiales; Euphorbiaceae.